RNAcentral lists this long non-coding RNA (332 nucleotides) under Nicotiana benthamiana. RNAcentral's name for it is "long non-coding RNA (NBEN_LNC005041)". The record is from RNAcentral. Lineage: Eukaryota; Viridiplantae; Streptophyta; Magnoliopsida; Solanales; Solanaceae.
UUCGGAUACAUAAACUACAUGAGCGGAAGCUAACCUGAAUCCAUAUGUGGAAUUUGAUGAACCUCCUUUGAUGAUUGUCCUUAUGUUCUUAUGAAUUCCUUGAUCCUUCCUUCAAGAUUCUUGAAGUUGUAUGUCACCACAAAUGCCUCACAAGACUCAAAACAAUAUAUGUGAAUUUUUCACAAUAGUAAGGUUAUGACAAUAAUCAAAUUUGGUGUAUGGUUUUCCACGCUAUUUGCAAGACAACAAUGGAUUGUGUACUCUUGAUUUAUUGGAAGGAAGAAGAGCUUGUCUUGCACUAAUGUGGGAACCAUAACCCCCACUUAAUAACA